AUAUGUACCUGGCCGGGGAGAUACCAUGAUAACAAAGGUGGUUUUCCCAGGCGAGGCUUACCCACUGUACUCCAGAUGUGCUGACCCCUGAGAUUUCCCCAAAUGUAGAAACUUAACUGCAUACUUUGUGGUAGUGGAGGGGGGGGGGGUCUGUGUUUGCACUUUCCCUUA
This 171-nucleotide small nuclear RNA is filed under the name Ursus thibetanus thibetanus. RNAcentral's name for it is "U1 spliceosomal RNA (ENSUTTG00000013566.1)". It matches the Rfam family "U1 spliceosomal RNA". Rfam says of the family: U1 is a small nuclear RNA (snRNA) component of the spliceosome (involved in pre-mRNA splicing). The record is from RNAcentral. Lineage: Eukaryota; Metazoa; Chordata; Mammalia; Carnivora; Ursidae.